UGCCUUGUACAGCAAGGAGGAAGGUGGGAUGACGUCAAGUCAGCAUGGCCUUUAUGCCCUGGGCUACACACACGCUACAAUGGGCGGUACAAAGGGCUGCGAACCCGCGAGGGGGAGCGAAUCCCAAAAAGCCGCUCUCAGUUCGGAUUGCAGGCUGCAACUCGCCUGCAUGAAGCCGGAAUCGCUAGUAAUCGCGGAUCAGCAUGCCGCGGUGAAUACGUUCCCGGGCCUU
RNAcentral lists this ribosomal RNA (232 nucleotides) under uncultured Geobacillus sp. RNAcentral describes it as "partial 16S ribosomal RNA". It matches the Rfam family "Bacterial small subunit ribosomal RNA", at positions 1150 to 1382 of the family's 1533-position model. The record is from RNAcentral. Lineage: Bacteria; Bacillati; Bacillota; Bacilli; Caryophanales; Anoxybacillaceae.